AAGUUCCAUUCAAUAUAUUCAAGUUUCCAUUGAAUAUUCUCAAGUUCCAUUCAAUAUAUUCAAGUUUCCAUUCAAUAUUCUCAAAUUCCAUUCAGUAUAUUCAAGUUUCCAUUGAAUAUUCUCAAGUUCCAUUCAAUAUAUUCAAGUUUCCAUUCAAUAUUCUCAAGUUUCCAUUCAAUAUUCUCAAGUUUCCAUUCAAUAUAUUCAAGUUUCCAUUCAAUAUAUUCAAGUUUCCAUUCAA
Molecule: long non-coding RNA, 241 nt
Organism: Thalassophryne amazonica
Lineage: Eukaryota; Metazoa; Chordata; Actinopteri; Batrachoidiformes; Batrachoididae
Exons: 2
Source: RefSeq, a predicted model, not a curated record